Molecule: ribosomal RNA, 497 nt
Filed under: uncultured bacterium
Lineage: Bacteria
Description: partial 16S ribosomal RNA
Rfam family: Bacterial small subunit ribosomal RNA
Source: RNAcentral
GACGAACGCUGGCGGCGUGCCUAAUACAUGCAAGUUGAGCGCUGAAGGUUGGUACUUGUACCAACUGGAUGAGCAGCGAACGGGUGAGUAACGCGUGGGGGGUCUGCCUUUAAGCGGGGGACAACAUUUAGAAACGAAUGCUAAUACCGCAUAAAAACUUUAAACACAAGUUUUAAGUUUGAAAGAUUCAAUUGCAUCACUCAAAGAUGAUCCCGCGUUGUAUUAGCUAGUUGGUGAGGUAAAGGCUCACCAAGGCGAUGAUACAUAGCCGACCUGAGAGGGUGAUCGGCCACAUUGGGACUGAGACACGGCCCAAACUCCUACGGGAGGCAGCAGUAGGGAAUCUUCGGCAAUGGACGAAAGUCUGACCGAGCAACGCCGCGUGAGGGAAGAAGGUCUUCGGAUCGUAAAACUCGGUUGGUAGAGAAGAACGUUGGUGAGAGUGGAAAGCUCAUCAAGUGACGGUAACUACCCAGAAAGCGACGGCUAACUACGUG